UGGAUGCCCUGGCAGUCAGAGGCGAUGAAGGGCGUGCUAAUCUGCGAUAAGCGCCGGUAAGGUGAUAUGAACCGUUAUAACCGGCGAUACCCGAAUGGGGAAACCCAGUGUGAUUCGUCACACUAUCAUUAACUGAAUCCAUAGGUUAAUGAGGCGAACCGGGGGAACUGAAACAUCUAAGUACCCCGAGGAAAAGAAAUCAACCGAGAUUCCCCCAGUAGCGGCGAGCGAACGGGGAGGAGCCCAGAGCCUGAAUCAGCAUGUGUGUUAGUGGAAGCGUCUGGAAAGGCGCGCGAUACAGGGUGACAGCC
Molecule: ribosomal RNA, 311 nt
Filed under: Salmonella enterica subsp. enterica serovar Paratyphi B
Lineage: Bacteria; Pseudomonadati; Pseudomonadota; Gammaproteobacteria; Enterobacterales; Enterobacteriaceae
Description: partial 23S ribosomal RNA
Rfam family: Bacterial large subunit ribosomal RNA
Source: RNAcentral